AGCAGAUCAAUUGGCAAACGGAGUCAAACAAACAGUGCUAGCCGGCGGUUACAGAUAGAAAUCCUCUACCAGCCGGUUUUCCCGUCACCUUGGCAGCUAAGAUGCGCCGGAGUAUAGCUGGUGGCAGCCUUGCUUCUUCCCAUUGAAGAAGCGCACAACAAGCAUUUUAUCUUGCUGUUAUGAUUUGGCGCUUGAUAUGCAUCACUCGGCCAUGAUUCGGUUUGAAUGGAGUUGCCCGGAUAUAUGAGGCCCAAAUACAUGCGUCUUGUUGUGGAG
RNAcentral lists this small RNA (276 nucleotides) under Cryptococcus neoformans H99. RNAcentral's name for it is "Cryptococcus neoformans var. grubii H99 hypothetical RNA". The record is from RNAcentral. Lineage: Eukaryota; Fungi; Basidiomycota; Tremellomycetes; Tremellales; Cryptococcaceae.